UAGCCAUUAGAAGUUAACUCUUCAUCAUACCAGCUCCCAUGUAAAUUGACACUUGCUAAAGUUGCUGAAUAUGAACCUUUUUUUUUUCCUUUAAAGAAUGGACAGGUCAUACAAAUUAGGGCAUAGUGGUUCACCUCAGUACAUUUCUGUAGCAGACAUUUCUAGUUUUUAGUCCAGAGCUUCAUUAUCUGCAUGGACAGAGCCCAGGUGGUUGAAGAGCCUGUGCCGGUAGAUACUGGCUGCCAUCCAGGCUCCAUAAAUGUUAAGUUAUUCCAAUGCCACAAAAAUAACCAUGUUUAUGUUCAUGUGACAUUAAUUUUUUAGUAAGUAUUGACCUCACGGAUAUCAAUUCUCCCCUUGUUUCUUAAGAUAAUUCUGUUUUUAUUUGGGGAAAUACUGUGCUCAAAGAAAAUAUUUAAUAUUCUGGUUGUGGCUAGAGAUGUCCAGGCGACAUAGUCAUUGCCAAUAAAAUAUAAGCAAAAGUGUGAUUUGAUAGAGCUUCUGGAAAACAGAAUUUCCUAGAGUAUUGGAUUUUAAACCCCUUGGACCAGCAGCAUCAAUAUCCUGAGUAUGUGUUAGAAAUGCAAAUUCUUUACUUAGGUUGGUAAUCAGAAAUGAGGGGUAAGUCCCAGCAAUCUUUGUAUUAACAAGUGUCUAGAUGAUUUUAAUGCCUGACACAGUUUGAGAACAAAUGUCUUAGACCUAGAGUAAUGGAUCUUAAAUGUGGUUGAAACUUGGAGUAACCUGGAAUGACUGGUGCUUCAGUUCUACCCCCAGAGCACUUUUAACUAGUCUGGGACAUGGGUUGAACCAAUGCCAAUCUCCUAGUUGUACUACUGCCGUCUAGUUUUGCAAAUUAUCACCCUCUGCUCUCCAGGUGAUUCUAUGGCAUGUAAAGAUAAAAGGACUCAGUCCCCUAAUGGUACGUUCCACACUGUGGAGUUAUUCAGUGAUGGAAAAUACUGAAAAUGUGUCUGUAUUUCUGCUUCUGUUCACUUAUUUGUUGAAAGCCUCACUUGAAAAGCAACAAGGAGAGAAAUGCCAAGAAUCUUGUGUUUUUCCUUAUAUCCAUCUCCCUAACCCUGGUUGUCCUAGAAAAUUAAAAGUGGGUUAGAUCCCAAAGGUACUGAAGAACUUUUAAGAAUGGUAGCAAAGAUAAUAGAGCUAUGGAGCAAUUGAAGAAAUGUGCCUAAUGUUCACUGCAGGGUCCUUGAUAAGGGAGGCUAUGACUUUUUACAUAUGUUCAUGUGGUCCCUUCCGAGCACUCUCAGGAGGUUCUUUGGAGGCCUCCAGCUAAGGCUAGCAAUGGAUUUGCCCCAGCUUGAGGUAUGCUAAGUAAGCAAACUCAGUAGUUUAGAUUUGGGGCACUGUGGUUUGUGGCUGUCCAAGUUUACUUGUUUAUUGGCCUCUAGGCUUUCCUAAAUUAUUGGAGAAAGCAGCCAAAAUGGGCACAAAUGGUUGAAGCAGGGAUCUGAGCAGUGUUUAAAAACUGGGUUGUGGUGAAUGAGCAAGACUGGGUGGAGCUGAUACAUUUAGUAAAAACACACAUUAGCAGUUGAUGUUGGUUUUGAAUCCUAGUAGGGGUGCAUGCACGACUCAGAAUAAUUCUCGGAGAGAGAAUUCACCACAGUGCAUGACUUAGUGUCUGGAGGUAGUAUAGCUGAACUGAAAAACAAUUUACUUUAAGUCAGUUUGAUAAACUUGUGGAAGUUUACUUCCCUUACCCCCCAUUGGCUACAGAGAAUUGUAGUGAGUUAAUAUUUAUUUGAGGCAGUUUUUCAAACUUGAAUGGCAUUCACACCAGUUUUAGAGGAAAAAUGAAACCCUUCAUUAUUUUUAGUAGUGAUGUAAGAUAGUUUAAACACUUUUUUACUUAUAAAUAAAGAAAAUCAACAAUUUGAUGUUAAAAUUUUCAUCAAAUUAAUAUGAUAAAUGGCAUCUGCUGUAAGGGAAAAAAAAUCCCAUUUUCAACCAUCAUGCUAUGUUUUAUUGCCGCAUGUGUUAAACUCGGUCCUCUGAGGAGCAGAAGCCAGAUGAACAUGGAAGAAUUUCAUUAAGAGAAACACCUAUGAGAAAGAAUGGGGAGUGAGCCAGGAAGUGUGAGAGAAGUUUGACCCCUUGGGAAAGAAGGAUGGAAAGGAUGGCUGGCACUUCUGGAUUUCUGGGAGCAUGAGGAAGUGUUUUCAAGGCUACUGGGGAGUUUGUGAACUAAAGGUGGACAUCAGAGAAUUCCUAGUGUCUCAGGAAGGAAUCUGCCUUAGUAUCUCUGCUAGUAUUCCUGGCAUCUUUGUUGUAUACACUUGCAUUAACCAGUAACAGUUUAUUACAAACUAGUACAUAGAUAGGUUACAUUCAAGUUAGAUAGUACUAACUCUAACAACAUAGUCUUUUGAGAUGUAAAUGCCUUUGUAACCAUGAGAUGUUCAAUGAUUCAGUUCUCCUCCACUUUCAUACAUUGUGAAAUAUUAUUGGUACAACAUGUUCAAAAGGUCAUUUAAUCCUCACUUGCCAAAAUCUCUUCAUUUUCAUAUUAAAUAUUUCUCUGUUUCUUUCUCAGUUGCCAGGAACAAUUAAAGAGCAAUAUAUUUACUUUGUGCUGUUCUUGUGAUUACAAGUCAUUUUUUUUAAAAGUCAUUUGUUAAACUGCAGUGUGGUUUCCAUGAAAAUGUUUUUUAGCUGUAAAUGACUAGCGCAAAAGAAGUUUUGUUUUUACAACUGGAAAACUAAUUCAACAUGAAUAAAUGGCUUCCUUUAUGCAAUUGUCGUUUUUAUAAUAGAACAGAGCGCCCUAAUGACAGCCAGUUAUACUUACCAAUGCAUGAAAAGUUAAAUAUCAUGAUGUUAAUAGAUCAUUUGCCACAAAUAUAAGUAUAAAUACAAAUGCUGUGGUGGCACUGCAUUCAUGUAAUGCUGUAGGAUGAUUAGGUGGCUACCCGGAUAAUUAACAUAAAGGAUUCUCAAUCCUAACUACCUAAUAGAAUCAAGGAGAGUCUAAACUGUAUAUCAGUGUCUGGAUGCCGCUCUUCAAAGAUUCUGACCCAAUUGAUUUUGAGUGAGCUGGGUGUAUGUAUGGUUUACAUGCAAACAACCCUUAAAUUUACAGUGAGUUUUUGGAUUUUCUUUAAAAUGAGGAAAUAAUUAUCAUAGAGAGCAUUUGUUCAUUUUAAAAUAUGAUCAUGGGUGGUAUAGCCACCUUGAAAGACCCUUCAGAAAUUUCCUACAAAAUUAAACAUGCUCUUACCAUAUAACAGGAAUAGUGCUCUUUGGUAUUUACCCAAAAUGAAUUGAAAACUUAUGUCCAUACAAAAGCCUGCACAUAGAACUUAUAGCAGCUUUAUUCAUAACUGCCAAAACUUAGAAGUAACCGAGAUGUCCAAUGGUAGGGGAAUGGAUAAAUAUACUGUAGUAUAUCCAGAUAAUAGAAUAUUAGUCACUGCUAAAGAGAAAUGAGCUAUCAAGCCAUGAAAAGACAUGAAGAAACCUGAAACACAAAUUGCUAAGUAAAAUAAGCCAAUCUGAAAAAGCUAUAUACUCUGUAGUUCCAACUAUAUUACAUUCUGAAGUACAAAACCACAGAGGUAAUAAGAAAAGAUUAGCGGUUAUUAGUGUUUGGGAGAGGGAUGAAUGGGCAUAACACAGAGGAUUUUUAGGGCAGUAAAAUUAUUCUGCCCCAUACUACAGUGUUGGAUACAUUUCAUUAUAUACUAGUUCAAACUCAUAGAAUGUACAACACCAAGAAUGAGCCCUAACGUAAAGUCUGGACUUUAGGUAGUAAGUUUGUAUUCAUGUAGGUUCAUUGAUUGUUAACAGAUGUACCACUAUGCUGUGGGAUGUACCUAGUUGAGGAGGUUUGUGUGUGGGGGGGAAAUCUCUGUACAAUAGGUUAGUUGCUGUGAACCUAAAACUACUCUAAAAAAUAGUUUAUUUAUUAAAAAAAAAUGAUCACAGGCCUAACAUUAGAUUAGAAUGAAUGAAUGAUGGUUUGAUUUAGGAAUAAAAAUUGGAUGUAGAUACUCUUAUUUCUAGUUUUUCUGUGCAUCUGCUAUCUAAUUGUUUUUUUUCAAGAUUUACAUUAUUUUUAGAACGUAAAAUUUCAAGGAAAUUCACUGUAAAUAAAAAUUCAUAAUGAUUCAGUGGGCGAAUCUAUUUGAAUUCAGGAACACAGCACUUCUUAGGCAAAACAAUGCCCACAGCUUCAGUGAUAUUGGCAAUUGGUCAGACUGUCCCCAGUCAAAUCAGCAGCUGAUCUCAAGUUGUCACAUCAGUGGGAUUUGUACAACAGAAAAGUUUGGGUAACAAAGGAUUGUAUAACUGUUUCAUAUGAGGAAGCUGGAAGAUUUAUAACCAUGAAGACUGGUCAGUUUCCUACAAGGCUGGCUGUUGAAUUAUAUUUGUUUUAUUCACAGCUACCAGGCAAAAACACAGCUUCUCCAAAUUUAUUAGAACUAUUGAAAAAUAAAUCUUUUAUAAUAUAAAGUAGGGUGUGUUGUUUUGUUUUUACGUAAAUAGAAUUUCAAUAAAAUAUUGCCUCAAAGAAUAGUUUGAUAGAAUUUAAAAUCAGUAGUUUAGGAAUUUAUAGACCUGGAUGCUAACUGUGGCUUUACCUAUAAUUAGUUGUAUAGUCCAGGAAUGAAAGUAACCUCUUUCGAACUCAGUUUUUCGCUGCAACACAUAGAUAGUUGUAAUUUUAACUCAUAGACAUACAGGGAAGAUAGGAGAGGUAAUAUUGUAAAGCAACUGGCAUAAAAGUCGGUAUUUCAUGAACUUGAUGCUUUUGAAGAACACUGGGGAGUCACUUUUUUUCAAAUGUUCCUCACCGUGGGUAAGAUUGAUGCUUCCUUCUGACUGGAUCGAGCUUACA
This 4861-nucleotide long non-coding RNA is filed under the name Sus scrofa (pig). RNAcentral describes it as "lncRNA (ENSSSCG00000062922.1)". The record is from RNAcentral. Lineage: Eukaryota; Metazoa; Chordata; Mammalia; Artiodactyla; Suidae.